UUGAAAAAUCCUGAGAUGACUUGAGAGUAGGAGCGAAAGACUAAUCAAACCCCGUGAUAGCUGGUUCUCUCCGAAAUCGCUUGAGGGCGAGUGUUGUGGAAGUACUCCUUGGAGGUAGAGCACUGAAUGGCUUAGGGACCCCACCAGGUUACCAAAACCAAUCAAACUCCGAAUACCAUGGAUCUCAGUAUCACAGCAAUCAGGCGGCGGGCGAUAAGGUUCGUCGCCGAGAGGGCAACAGCCCAGACCAUCAGCUAAGGUGCCUAAAUGUGAUUAAGUGGAAAGGAUGUGACGUUGCACAGACAGUGAGGAUGUUGGCUUAGAGGCAGCCAUCAUUUAAACAGUGCGUAAUAGCUGACUCAUCGAGCGAUGUCGCGCCGAAAAUGAUUGGCGAUUAAAUCACAUACCGAAGCUAUGGAUUCAGUUCCGAUUCGUCGGGACUGAGUGGUAGGAGAGCGUAAUCAGCGCUGCGAAGCCGAACGGAAACGGACGGUGGAGCGCUGAUUAGUGAGAAUGCAGACACGAGUAGCGAUAAACCAGGUGAGAAUCCUGGUCGCCGUAAACCCAAGGUUUCCUGGGCCAGGUUCGUCCCCCCAGGGUUAGCCGGGAGCUAAGAUGAGGCCGUAAGGCGUAAUCGAUGCACAGCAGGUUAAAUAUUCCUGCGCCAGCUAGGUUAAGGUUGGAGAUGACGCAUGGGAAGACAUCAACUAGGCAAUCGAAUGCUGAGCUUAGGCUUCGGCCGAAGCGUAUUGGUGGGUUCCUGUGCCGAGAAAAGUUUCCAACUGUUCCCGACGCUGCCCGUACCGUAAACCGACACAGGUGGGUGAGUGUAAGCGCACUCAGGCGCGCGAGAGAGACCUCUCUAAGGAACUCGGCACAUUAGCCUCGUAACUUCGGGAGAAGAGGUGCCCUUCGCAAGAAGGGUCUCAGUAAAUUGCGUUUAGCGACUGUUUAACAAAAACACAGCACUCUGCAAAGUCGUGAAGACGACGUAUAGGGUGUGACACGUGACCAAUGCGGAAAGAUCAAACCAUGAGGUUAGCCGUAAGGCGAAGCUUCGUGGCCAAGUCCCCGUGAAUGUCGGCCGUAACUAUAACGGUCCUAAGGUAGCGAAAUUCCUUGUCGGGUAAGUUCCGACCUGCACGAAUCGUGUAACGACUGAACCGCUGUCUCGGAGAGGAUCUCGGCGAAAUUGUAACUGCGGUGAAGAUGCCGCAUGCCCGCAGUAGGACGGAAAGACCCUAUGCACCUUUACUGUAAGCUGAUAUUGGGUUCUGGUUAAUGAUGCGUAGCGUAGGUGGGAGGCUUCGAAGCGAGGGCUUCGGUUCUCGUGGAGCCGCAAUGUGAAACACCACUCUUUGUUAAUUAGGAUUCUAACCCCAACUCUGUAAGCCAGAUGGGGGACAGUGUCUGCGGGUCAGUUUGACUGGGGCGGUUUCCUCCCAAAUGGUAACGGAGGAGCGCGAAGCUUGGUUCAGUACGGUUGGCAACCGUACGUUGAGGGUAUGGCUAGAAGCCAGGCUAACUGUGAGACCUACAAGUCGAGCAGGUACGAAAGUAGGCCCAAAUGAUCCGACGGUUUAAUGUGGAAUUGCCGUCG
Molecule: ribosomal RNA, 1600 nt
Filed under: Ambispora leptoticha
Lineage: Eukaryota; Fungi; Glomeromycota; Glomeromycetes; Archaeosporales; Ambisporaceae
Description: bacterial LSU rRNA
Rfam family: Bacterial large subunit ribosomal RNA
Source: RNAcentral